AAAAGCAGUCCCUCCCCUAUGAAUCAUGAAACCCAGAAACCUUGACUAAUGAAGCAGCUCCUCUGGCUGGUGGCUCUUCCUGCAGUCACUGAGUAUGAGAAAAGGGCUUUCAAGCGCUUGGUGCAUGGGGCCGAAGAGCUAAGAGGGAUUUCUGAUGAAGAGUGAGUGAGUAGCACAUCUGUAGGAGCUGACAUCUGGCUCAAAACUGUCAAAAAAUAUAACAGGAGAGAGAGAGGGAUGGUACAAACCCUCCUGGACAGCUGCACGGGAGCACAGAGAUAAUGUGCCGAUGUCACGCCAAGUCUCUUUUGGAAGCCCCCGCCGAGAGAUGUGAAGGGAAUAAAAUUACAGCAAUCUUCAAUAAGGAGUGAAUGACUAAAAGAAAUCCUUCCAGGUAAAUCGUGUUAUCCGCGGCACACUUUCAAAUCUCCAAGCCAGACUACCGGCAGGUUAUAUCUGUUGAGGACAAAACAUCUAUGUUUUCUACAGUUGCAGUAGAUUGAAAGACCUGAGGACUUGGAAUCUGGGGCUGAUGAUAUCAUCACCAUCUUCUUCUUCUUCAUCAUCAAAGUAUUUACUAAACGUCUGCAUCUACAAACCAGGAUCAAUAGACACAGGCUGUGUCUCCACGAGGCCAUUGAUUCCAUCAUUUUCUGACCAUUUGGUUGUUUCAGUUGUCAUCACUAUCUCAAUCAAUGGAGCCCUGCCGAUUUCUGGCGACGUAAAAGACUGUUAUAACAGUUCCAUAGUCCAGUUCCUUAGGUCAUUAGAAUAAUCAGAUUGGAGCCAUAGAUAAUCAAAGAACAUUAAUGGUUGAAGAGAUCUUAGAGGUCUAAUUCUAAUGUUCUCAUUUUACAGAGGAGGAAACAGAGGCCCAGAAAGGGGAAGGGACUUGAUCAUUAUCAUCCAGAGAAUUAGUGGCAAAGACGGGACUAGAAACUAGGUUUCUUGAUGGUUAUAGUGAAGUGCUCUUCCUAUAAGCAAUCAGCAGAGAAGCGGCCUGACAUAUAGUAUAUUCAACCAAUUCUGUAGCAGGUCAUUGGAGAACUGAUAUUCUCAACUCUGGGUCUCAGGGGAUUGACCCAAAUGCCAGUCUCUAGGCCUUUUCAAAGUAUUUACUACUUCUGCAGGCCAAGGGAUUCUUCAAAAACUCACGUGGUUGCUAGGAAGGAAAGAGCAAAUGCUUUGAAUCAUAAAAGAUCCUGCAAAUAAAUUCCUGUUACAUAAUAA
This is a long non-coding RNA of Vombatus ursinus (common wombat), 1230 nucleotides long. RefSeq lists it as uncharacterized. The transcript is spliced from 3 exons. NCBI's taxonomy places the organism in Eukaryota, Metazoa, Chordata, Mammalia, Diprotodontia, Vombatidae. The record is from RefSeq and is a predicted model, not a curated record.